Molecule: ribosomal RNA, 460 nt
Filed under: uncultured bacterium
Lineage: Bacteria
Description: partial 16S ribosomal RNA
Rfam family: Bacterial small subunit ribosomal RNA
Source: RNAcentral
CCUACGGGAGGCAGCAGUGAGGAAUAUUGGUCAAUGGGCGAGAGCCUGAACCAGCCAAGUCGCGUGAAGGAUGACGGCCCUACGGGUUGUAAACUUCUUUUGUCAGGGAGCAAUUUGGUCCACGCGUGGGCUUAGCGAGAGUACCUGAAGAAAAAGCAUCGGCUAACUCCGUGCCAGCAGCCGCGGUACUACGGAGGAUGCGAGCGUUACCCGGAGUUAUUGGGUUAAAAGGGUGCGUAGGCGGAAUAUAAAGUCAGCGGUAAAAAUUCGGGGCUAAACCCCGUCGUGCCGUUGAAACUGAUGUUCUGGAGUGGGCGAGAAGUAGGCGGAAUGCGUGGUGUAGCGGUGAAAUGCAUAGAUAUCACGCAGAACUCCGAUUGCGAAGGCAGCAUACCGGCGCCCAACUGACGCUGAAGCACGAAAGCGUGGGGAGCAAACAGGAUUAGAUACCCCUGUAGUC